CGUUUAAGUGACAAUUCAAUUCAAUUCACAAACACAAACCCCCAAGAUUUAACACCAUCUCUGUCUCUGAAGCUCACACUCAGUGACGACCUCGGCGGACAACUAUGGCGGACACCAACGGCAACGGCGGCAGCCAUGAAGUUCUGAUGCUGGAAGCUCCGCCGCCGGUAGGUCCGGCAUGGCCAGGACCUCUAACCAACGCUGAAACCACUGACGCAUUGCCCUACAUCGACGACGACUACGCCAACCCCGACGUCAAGCGCGAGGUAGACCGCAUGGUGGAGGAGGAGUUGCGGCGCAGCGCCAAGAAGCCCGCCGAUUUCCUCAAGGAGCUGCCGCCUCUUCCCAAGCCCAAUUUCAAGGAUCAUCCGAUGCUGGCUAGGGAAUACGAACGAGUGAGAGCAUCGAGGCCUCCGGUGGCGAUUGAUUUUUCGAGAGACAAAGUGGAGCUGCCGCCGGUGAAUAAAAUGAAUGAUGAAACUGCUUGGAAGCUUGCUCUCCAGAAAGCUCAGUGCUCUCUGCAGCACCAAGCCGUCAGGUUGGAGAAUUUGGAGCUGAUUGACAAGUAUGGUCCUGAUGCCUGGAUUCAGAACAACAAUAGAUUGCAAUCGAUUUUGUCGAGGAUGCAGAAAUUAGCUCAGGAGCAAUAUCAAAAUAUCGAAACAGUGAAUCGUGAAAGGAAACAUCAUCAGCAAACCACUGCGUAUGAGCUUAAUGCUCUGGCUGCUCAAUGGAAGGAGCUUUGCCAGAAGAAUAUAGAAAUUCAAUCUGCCUGUGUUAAACUUGAAAACCAUCUUGAAGAAUCGAGGAGGGAAGCGGCCGGAGGAGGCUGGACCUUGGAUGCCAAUGCAGAAAAUUGUUCUCUAUUGACUGCUGAAUGAGAAGUAUCAGGUAGCCAUCAGAACCAGAGUUGAUUAAAACCUAGGCUUUGUCACUUGUGCCCUAGAAUAUGCGACGAUUAAUUUUUGGGAUUUGGAUGAAGACCCGGCAGAGAUCGUGAUACGGGAAUAUUAGCGUUGAUGCAACAAGCAUCAUAGCGUGCAGCUGGAUUGAUCUUUGUUGCCCUUUCGAUGAGUGGUCGUUUUGCCCCAGUUCCACGCGUUGAAUCCAAUUGUAAUUAAUCAUCGCACAUGUUUUCAGUUGGUAUUAAUGUAAUGAAAUCUCUUUUAACUA
Pyrus x bretschneideri (Chinese white pear) is the source of this 1173-nucleotide RNA transcript. It is a transcript of the gene named pre-mRNA-splicing factor SPF27 homolog, with no coding region annotated. The record is from RefSeq and is a predicted model, not a curated record. The transcript is spliced from 8 exons. Lineage: Eukaryota; Viridiplantae; Streptophyta; Magnoliopsida; Rosales; Rosaceae.